GGGGAUUUAGCUCAGUGGUAGAGCGCUUGCCUAGCAAGCGCAAGGCCCUGGGUUCGGUCCCCAGCUCCGGGGGGAAAAAAAAGAUCUGGGUUCAAUUCCCAGCUUCUCUU
Molecule: transfer RNA, 110 nt
Filed under: Rattus norvegicus (Norway rat)
Lineage: Eukaryota; Metazoa; Chordata; Mammalia; Rodentia; Muridae
Rfam family: tRNA
About the family: Transfer RNA (tRNA) molecules are approximately 80 nucleotides in length. Their secondary structure includes four short double-helical elements and three loops (D, anti-codon, and T loops). Further hydrogen bonds mediate the characteristic L-shaped molecular structure. tRNAs have two regions of fundamental functional importance: the anti-codon, which is responsible for specific mRNA codon recognition, and the 3' end, to which the tRNAs corresponding amino acid is attached (by aminoacyl-tRNA synthetases). tRNAs cope with the degeneracy of the genetic code in two manners: having more than one tRNA (with a specific anti-codon) for a particular amino acid; and 'wobble' base-pairing, i.e. permitting non-standard base-pairing at the 3rd anti-codon position.
Source: Rfam by way of RNAcentral